GGCAACUUGGCCGAGCGGUUAAGGCGACGCACUCAAGGAUGUUUCUUCCUUACCCUUACAAAGGGUAGAUUUGCGUUCUCGAAAGGGGCGUGAGUUCGAAUCUCACAGUUGUCA
Molecule: non-coding RNA, 114 nt
Organism: Lasiosphaeria hispida
Lineage: Eukaryota; Fungi; Ascomycota; Sordariomycetes; Sordariales; Lasiosphaeriaceae
Source: the annotation of a GenBank genome assembly